Molecule: ribosomal RNA, 2915 nt
Filed under: Pseudomonas gingeri
Lineage: Bacteria; Pseudomonadati; Pseudomonadota; Gammaproteobacteria; Pseudomonadales; Pseudomonadaceae
Description: 23S ribosomal RNA
Rfam family: Bacterial large subunit ribosomal RNA
Source: RNAcentral
GUUAUAUGGUCAAGUGAAGAAGCGCAUACGGUGGAUGCCUUGGCAGUCAGAGGCGAUGAAAGACGUGGUAGCCUGCGAAAAGCUUCGGGGAGUCGGCAAACAGACUUUGAUCCGGAGAUGUCUGAAUGGGGGAACCCAGCCAUCAUAAGAUGGUUAUCUUGUACUGAAUACAUAGGUGCAAGAGGCGAACCAGGGGAACUGAAACAUCUAAGUACCCUGAGGAAAAGAAAUCAACCGAGAUUCCCUUAGUAGUGGCGAGCGAACGGGGACUAGCCCUUAAGUGGCUUUGAGAUUAGCGGAACGCUCUGGAAAGUGCGGCCAUAGUGGGUGAUAGCCCUGUACGCGAAAAUCUCUUGGUCAUGAAAUCGAGUAGGACGGGGCACGAGAAACCUUGUCUGAAUAUGGGGGGACCAUCCUCCAAGGCUAAAUACUACUGACUGACCGAUAGUGAACUAGUACCGUGAGGGAAAGGCGAAAAGAACCCCGGAGAGGGGAGUGAAAUAGAUCCUGAAACCGUAUGCGUACAAGCAGUGGGAGCCCACGUUGUUGGGUGACUGCGUACCUUUUGUAUAAUGGGUCAGCGACUUAUUUUCAGUGGCGAGCUUAACCGAAUAGGGGAGGCGUAGCGAAAGCGAGUCUUAAUAGGGCGUCUAGUCGCUGGGAAUAGACCCGAAACCGGGCGAUCUAUCCAUGGGCAGGUUGAAGGUUGGGUAACACUAACUGGAGGACCGAACCGACUACCGUUGAAAAGUUAGCGGAUGACCUGUGGAUCGGAGUGAAAGGCUAAUCAAGCUCGGAGAUAGCUGGUUCUCCUCGAAAGCUAUUUAGGUAGCGCCUCAUGUAUCACUGUAGGGGGUAGAGCACUGUUUCGGCUAGGGGGUCAUCCCGACUUACCAAACCGAUGCAAACUCCGAAUACCUACAAGUGCCGAGCAUGGGAGACACACGGCGGGUGCUAACGUCCGUCGUGAAAAGGGAAACAACCCAGACCGUCAGCUAAGGUCCCAAAGUCAUGGUUAAGUGGGAAACGAUGUGGGAAGGCUUAGACAGCUAGGAGGUUGGCUUAGAAGCAGCCACCCUUUAAAGAAAGCGUAAUAGCUCACUAGUCGAGUCGGCCUGCGCGGAAGAUGUAACGGGGCUCAAACCAUGCACCGAAGCUACGGGUAUCACUUAGGUGAUGCGGUAGAGGAGCGUUCUGUAAGCCUGUGAAGGUGAGUUGAGAAGCUUGCUGGAGGUAUCAGAAGUGCGAAUGCUGACAUGAGUAACGACAAUGGGUGUGAAAAACACCCACGCCGAAAGACCAAGGUUUCCUGCGCAACGUUAAUCGACGCAGGGUUAGUCGGUCCCUAAGGCGAGGCUGAAAAGCGUAGUCGAUGGAAAACAGGUUAAUAUUCCUGUACUUCUGGUUAUUGCGAUGGAGGGACGGAGAAGGCUAGGCCAGCUUGGCGUUGGUUGUCCAAGUUUAAGGUGGUAGGCUGGACUCUUAGGUAAAUCCGGGAGUCUAAGGCCGAGAGCUGAUGACGAGUUGCCAUUAGGCGACGAAGUGGUUGAUGCCAUGCUUCCAAGAAAAGCUUCUAAGCUUCAGGUAACCAGGAACCGUACCCCAAACCGACACAGGUGGUUGGGUAGAGAAUACCAAGGCGCUUGAGAGAACUCGGGUGAAGGAACUAGGCAAAAUGGCACCGUAACUUCGGGAGAAGGUGCGCCGGUGAGGGUGAAGGACUUGCUCCGUAAGCCCAUGCCGGUCGAAGAUACCAGGCCGCUGCGACUGUUUAUUAAAAACACAGCACUCUGCAAACACGAAAGUGGACGUAUAGGGUGUGACGCCUGCCCGGUGCCGGAAGGUUAAUUGAUGGGGUUAGCUAACGCGAAGCUCUUGAUCGAAGCCCCGGUAAACGGCGGCCGUAACUAUAACGGUCCUAAGGUAGCGAAAUUCCUUGUCGGGUAAGUUCCGACCUGCACGAAUGGCGUAACGAUGGCGGCGCUGUCUCCACCCGAGACUCAGUGAAAUUGAAAUCGCUGUGAAGAUGCAGUGUAUCCGCGGCUAGACGGAAAGACCCCGUGAACCUUUACUAUAGCUUUGCACUGGACUUUGAAUUUGCUUGUGUAGGAUAGGUGGGAGGCUUUGAAGCGUGGACGCCAGUUCGCGUGGAGCCAACCUUGAAAUACCACCCUGGCAACUUUGAGGUUCUAACUCAGGUCCGUUAUCCGGAUCGAGGACAGUGUAUGGUGGGUAGUUUGACUGGGGCGGUCUCCUCCUAAAGAGUAACGGAGGAGUACGAAGGUGCGCUCAGACCGGUCGGAAAUCGGUCGUAGAGUAUAAAGGCAAAAGCGCGCUUGACUGCGAGACAGACACGUCGAGCAGGUACGAAAGUAGGUCUUAGUGAUCCGGUGGUUCUGUAUGGAAGGGCCAUCGCUCAACGGAUAAAAGGUACUCCGGGGAUAACAGGCUGAUACCGCCCAAGAGUUCAUAUCGACGGCGGUGUUUGGCACCUCGAUGUCGGCUCAUCACAUCCUGGGGCUGAAGCCGGUCCCAAGGGUAUGGCUGUUCGCCAUUUAAAGUGGUACGCGAGCUGGGUUUAGAACGUCGUGAGACAGUUCGGUCCCUAUCUGCCGUGGACGUUUGAGAUUUGAGAGGGGCUGCUCCUAGUACGAGAGGACCGGAGUGGACGAACCUCUGGUGUUCCGGUUGUCACGCCAGUGGCAUUGCCGGGUAGCUAUGUUCGGGAAAGAUAACCGCUGAAAGCAUCUAAGCGGGAAACUUGCCUCAAGAUGAGAUCUCACUGGAACCUUGAGUUCCCUGAAGGGCCGUCGAAGACUACGACGUUGAUAGGUUGGGUGUGUAAGCGCUGUGAGGCGUUGAGCUAACCAAUACUAAUUGCCCGUGAGGCUUGACCAUAUAACACCCAAGCAAUU